This 103-nucleotide non-coding RNA is filed under the name Halobacillus mangrovi. RNAcentral describes it as "TPP sequence". It matches the Rfam family "TPP riboswitch aptamer (THI element)". Rfam says of the family: Vitamin B(1) in its active form thiamin pyrophosphate (TPP) is an essential coenzyme that is synthesised by coupling of pyrimidine and thiazole moieties in bacteria. The record is from RNAcentral. Lineage: Bacteria; Bacillati; Bacillota; Bacilli; Caryophanales; Bacillaceae.
GGAAUCUACUAGGGGCGCGAGUGUUCGCUGAGAAAAGGUCAUCCUUUGUCCCUCAGAACCUGAUCUGGUUAGUACCAGCGGAGGGAAGUAGUUAGUAUCCACA